Molecule: long non-coding RNA, 1210 nt
Organism: Sebastes umbrosus (honeycomb rockfish)
Lineage: Eukaryota; Metazoa; Chordata; Actinopteri; Perciformes; Sebastidae
Exons: 2
Source: RefSeq, a predicted model, not a curated record
ACCACAAUUCAAAAGCAAUGUCUGAUUUUCAUUAGUUAAUUUUCAGUGAAUUUUUAUUUAUUAUUACUUUUGUCAGUUUCAAGUUAUUUCAGUGACCAUUGUGGGGUUUUCUUUCUUUAACAGACGGGUACCAACAAUUCUGUCCACGUGUGUAUGUGUCACCCUGCUAGUUUUCACAUAACAUGGCUCAACACAGACGCAUGAAGUCAACCUGUGGAGCUUUUCCCUUCAGAAAUCAAUGUUGAGUCGCCGUUAUCACCACCGUGUUCUGUAGCUCCUGGUGGAAUGUUGUUAAAAAAUUAAAUGUAAUCAUAAUUUACUUUAUUUAAAAUGAUGAAAAAUGCAAUCUAUAGAGUGAAUGAAGAGAGGGAGCUCCGUUAGUGAAAGCAAAGCAGUGAAUCAGAGAAAUAAAACAUUAUUUUCUGAUUGUUUCACGGCUUUAACGUUCUAAAGCACCAAUAAACACGCCUCCGCACAACCCUGCAGGAAGGUGCCUUAUUGCCGGAUUUUUAACGAAUGCAGCCGAAGGUCAGGCUUCAUCUUGUCCUCUCUGCAUGGCGUGUGCCACACAUUAUUUUUUCCCCAGUGUUGGGCCUCGUCCCGCCCUACUGUGCUGUGAUUGGCUAGUAUUCGUUGCCUCUGCCUCGACUGUUCGGCUCAUUUUGCACCCGGGAGAAGUCUUUGCCUUCAGGGCUUUCUGCCAGAAAGGGUUUAUUUUAACCCAAACCAUUAUCUUUUCCUAAACCUAACCAAGUAGAGUUGCUGCCUAAACCUGAAGAGGUUUCUGACAGAGGCAAACUUCUCCCAUGUUCACUCAAUUCAAACAGUUUAGCAUUUAAAUGGAAUUAGCAAGCUAACUAGCCAGCCACUACAUUAGUACAAUUUGAACAACACACACACUUGUCACAGUGUAGGAAAGCUCAUCACCAUUUGAGUGACAACUUUGUUUUGCUCAUUGUCUGUUACCAGUGUAGCAUGAAAGCAUGGUGGAAUUAGCUAGCUAGCUAACUAGCCAGCCGCUAAAUGAGUAAACAUGAACAACUUCAUGGCUUCGUCCACACACUCUUGUCCAUCUUGUCACAGCAUAAGAAAGCACAUUGCUAUUGCCAGAUAAUUCGCCAAUCAUAGCACUGUAUUUCUGCAAAGGUGUAAGCUUCUGUAUAUACUGUAUGUUACUGGCUAUUUGCAAAUAAAGAAAGAUUUAAUUUCC